Molecule: ribosomal RNA, 370 nt
Filed under: uncultured organism
Description: partial 16S ribosomal RNA
Rfam family: Bacterial small subunit ribosomal RNA
Source: RNAcentral
GUAGGGUGCAAGCGUUAAUCGGAAUUACUGGGCGUAAAGCGUGCGCAGGCGGUCCGCUAAGACAGAUGUGAAAUCCCCGGGCUUAACCUGGGAACUGCAUUUGUGACUGGCGGGCUAGAGUAUGGCAGAGGGGGGUAGAAUUCCACGUGUAGCAGUGAAAUGCGUAGAGAUGUGGAGGAAUACCGAUGGCGAAGGCAGCCCCCUGGGCCAAUACUGACGCUCAUGCACGAAAGCGUGGGGGAGCAAACAGGAUUAGAUACCCUGGUAGUCCACGCCCUAAACGAUGUCAACUAGUUGUCGGGUCUUCAUUGACUUGGUAACGUAGCUAACGCGUGAAGUUGACCGCCUGGGGAGUACGGUCGCAAGAUUA